CUUUAAGGGCUGGCAGCUGAAAGGGAAACAUCUCUACAUGUAGAUUGCCUCUUUUGGGAAUUUCCAGUGAGCCCCGAUCCUCAGAAAAGGGAGAGACAUUCAGAUAUCAUCAGCCCUUGUUUUCUUAUUGUAAACUGCCAUUUGCAGCGCUUGUGACAAAACAGGCGAAGACUUGCUGUUUUGCAGAGGUUCUCUGAAGAUUAAUAUUAUCCCUCAUUUGCAGAACCAUUAAAAACUUGUAAUCAAGCAAAUGAGAACGUAAAUGGAUGGAAAACUGAAGAUCUCUUAACUGGAAUACAUUGUGGAAUAAGAACAACCACCCACAUACACACUGUACAUUUUGGACAGAUUUUCUACAAUCAUUCCCAAACAUAAUUUUUUAAGUGAUAGGAUCACAUUUCAUCUGAAUAUCAAGAAGUUGAAAUCUACAGCUGAAUGCAUCUCUUGUCAGAGCUCAGCACUGCCCCUCCGCUCCCUUCAUGAGGAGCUAUAGGCUGCCAUGAGGCCUCCCCUGAGCUAGACAAAGAAAGCUUCAACAAUGAAGAAUUCAUUGAUUUCCCAAAGGGCAGGAGGUUGUAUAUUACACCAAACCAAUCCUGCUGUACCCCUCCACUGAAGUACAAGAGAUGAAGAGCUAAAAGUGACUAAAAUAAAAAAAGAGGUUAUCAAAUGACAGAGUGAGACCCUAUAAUGAGGGUCAUGGGUUGCCCCAUUUAAAGACAGAAGGAACACUAUUCCAACGGGUGCUAGAAGAAAUCCAUAGCAAUCCAUUUCUUUUGGAAGAUCAGAGCACUCUUGUACGCUGAAGAAACUAGACAUGUCCUUUUUUCCAUAUCACUAGGAAAGCUCUUGUAACUCUAGCAAACCGCUACUGAGCGCAGAAACACAUUCAAAUGGAAUGUUUCCAUUGCUGUUCCAUAUUUACUGGACAUAAUCAUUUGUUUUAUAUAGAGUACUAUAUUUUGAGCAUAUAGGUAGCAAAUAAUACUGCAAGCUUCUAAAAUCUAGAAAAAACAGAAUGAACACUGCUUAAGUAUUCUCAGAGCAAAGCGUACCUUCUUUCAAAAAUUUCUUUAUCUAAAUUCAUUUAUUCUACAUCAUUUCCCUCUCCAAAGAACACUGGACAGAAACUUUCAGAACUUUUUUUCAACACAAUAUAGCACAAAAAUACUAGGCUGCUCUGAAGAAUUAAAAGGAUUAUUACUAAAAAAAAAAAGUAUACAAUUGGAUAGCUAACCGAACAUUUAUUCAAAAUGAAAGGUUUUAAUCUGUCAGUGAAGUUGAGUUGAACUUAUCUCGAUAACCAGCCAAAACCUACAGUAUUUCAGCAUAACACAAGCAUUGAUGCUACCAGACAGCCACCUUGAAGCCUACAGUAUAAACAGACAUUCACUCUGUAUACUGAAAAUGUGCUGGUUGGUAUUGUAAAAUCAUACAGCUGUUUUGAGCAAGCAUCUUAGAAUUCCUCCUGUGUCAAACCAUCACCAGCUGCAGCCAAUCUGCUCUAUAAUGAGAGCAAAUAUAUGUUUAAUUUGUUGUGUAUAGAAGAAAAUAUGGUGCAGUGGGGGAGGAGGAGCAGAAAUGAUAAAAGCAUGCCAUCCAACUGGAAUUAGUGAUCUAACAGCCUUUGUAUCAUUGUAACACGCUAGCCUAGGUUGUUCAAACUCUAAGACUGCCUCCCUGCUGUUCUAGAUACUUAAGUAGCAGAACACAAUCUUUCUUCCCAUCUUUCGAGGAUAUUUGCUAUAUGAUUUUUCUUCCAAUCCUAAAAGCAAGAUAGAAAGACAUUAUUUAACUGAGUGUAAACAAACAGAAGACCUGUUAUUAUCAAGAUAUUUCUAACUGUACUUCACCGAUUUCAAAGUGUGACAAAGUUAAUUUGUUCUAUUCUUCAAAUGUGGAAAUAUCAAAAGUAACGUUACGAGGAAGUUGAAAAAGUUGCACAUGCACGAGUCCUCACUAGUUAAGUCAGAAUUCUCUCUUUAUCUUCACACAUUUUCUUUGAUUAAAAUAACAACCCUAUGUAACUCCACUGAGGCCUGAGUAGAAAGUGCUCCUCGAUGACUAAUAUUUACAAACAUGUCUUCCCUACAGGCAAACUUAUAGUUAAUUGCUACUAAAUAACUAAGAUACCCCAGUGAUCUGAGUUAGGAAUACUAAACGUAAAACUGCAAGUUCAAAAUUAAGAUAGGUGGUUAUGUGCUACUAAUGUUAAACGUUCCUGAGAAGUGGCAUUCCUUGUCUUUUUCCAUUCCCUUUUAAUUCCUGAUGAACGUACAUCAGUGACUCACAACGUGCCACAAAAGUGUUCUACUGAGAGAGCAUAAUAAAAAGAUUGUACCUAAAAAACUAAAUGUAGUUUUUCAAACUUAUCUUGUCUAGACCUUACAAGCAGAACAAAGAAUAUCGCGACUAAAGCUUCACUCAUUUCCAGCAAGUACAGCUAUGUUUUCCUCAAAGCAGAAAAGUGCAAAAGGCAGAAAAGAAGGCAGUCUAAUUUUUUGUAUGUUGAUGUUAUGUCAAGGCAGAACAAUGAAAAAAUACAGUUUAACACCAUAUCCGUAAUUACAAAAAGCUAUUGGGUUUUGAGAUCUUUUGCAUGAGAACUGGCUUCAGUGUGUCAGAGUGUACAGCUAAACCUCUCAAAUCCUUCCCGUCCUUCAACCUACUGUCAGCUUUCAGAACAUCACAGCUCUGGAAUUCUUUCUAAGAUUUUCCUGCAGGGUUUCAAUAGGGAAUACUAAUCCAGUGGUAACAAGAAUCUGGGUCUCCCGAUCACGUGACCGCUGAAGUACAAGGCAGCUUCAACCAGGGAAACUCCACAGUAGCAGCAAGUCCUGGUGAAGAACACCCCCUCGAACCAACAUUUCAUGAGUAGAUUGACAAUGCUAGUAAAGUACUCUCAGGGUUUAUGCAAUUUUUUUUCUAUAGUGAAAUAAAAAUUCAAAGUUCAAAUUUUUAAAAUAAGAGUAUGAUGAAAAUACAGUAAGACAGUAGUAAAGCUCUGGAAUGAAAAAUUAGAAAGAAUACCUCAGAAUUAUUCCUUUAGAUUUAAGUCACUACUAGGCCCUCACGCUUUCUGAAAUUACUUCACCAAACCUCCUGCCUUGCUCUCUGUGGGAAUACAAGAAAGACUAUUCAGAACAGCACCUGUAGAGCAAGAUAAAUGAAAGCAAUGCUGAGAACCAAGGAAGAAGAGAAAAGCAAGUCAAGUAAGUUGCGCGAUGGCCGUAUGGUAAUUACCCUGACUGAAGGAAGAGUGUGUGGCUAAGAAUGGCUCAUGGCUCUGACUGGAUAAGUGCCUGUGUGCACGGUUAAGGAGUGUUUGCGGAAUGUUUUGUUGACAUGUAAAGGUGGGUGGGAAAGUUAAGAGAAAACUUGUGACUGCAUAAGGGAUGCUAGAACCUGU
Molecule: long non-coding RNA, 3409 nt
Organism: Gallus gallus (chicken)
Lineage: Eukaryota; Metazoa; Chordata; Aves; Galliformes; Phasianidae
Source: Ensembl